AAAUACCGUCGGUUGCAACUAAGGGUGAACAGUUGCAGAUAAAACAUUCUCUAUUCUCAUUAAUUUAAAAAGCCUGUAAAAGUUUCCAGUAGGUCUCUAGCCCAAUACGUUCAGACCACACAAAGUUUUGUUACUUAUUAUUGUACACAUGGGAAACAACAAUUAAGUGUUGUUGUUCUUGUCAAAUAUUGAAGAUUCUAAUCACGCGAAUGUUUUUAUGAGCGACUGUUCAUCGUUAGUUGCAAGCGACCGUACAACAUACUAUGAACAUUUUCCCGACUGUGACCGAAUGUGCAACGAUAUAUUUUUCAAAGUUGUUAUCAAUUCUUAAAAUUUGUUUAUAGUAAAACGGCCUGCUCAGCACUCACUACUCACGAUGAUUUCAUUUAGAAAUGCAGUUACCAGGAAAGGAACUGAUUCUAAAAUAUGUAAAUUUAAACGUAUUGGCUAACAGAAUAAAGCGAUGUGAAGACAAGGUAUAAACUUUUAUAGUUGCUAUUUGUUAUAAAAUCCUAUAAAUAAACCGAUUCAACAAUAAUUUUGCCUCGAAUUUGCAUAAUCUAUGCUGCAUGUUUAUAUUUUAUUUUUAUAGUAUAAAAAUAAAAUUGUAAUACUAUGAAAUAAAAUACAUUUCUGUUUAUUGACCAGUACUUAUUUAAUGUCUUCUUCAUCCAGUGGUCAGAGUAAAUUUCUACUUCUUGCAAGUACAUAUUUGACAAGCAGUCUGGAAUAAGCACAGGAAUAAGCACAAUAAGCCAUUUUAUAGUAGCAAUAUGAAAAGUUUUUUCUUUUUCCAUGACUUUUAAUGCAUCAGCCAAAUCCAAGUGUGCCCAUCCCCCUCACCCAGCUAUUUUCCUGUAAAGCACAUCCCGUGGGUUGGGUAUUUCCACUCGAACCUUAGCCCCGGCGGGGCGUUUGAAAUUAAUAAUUUCGAUUCUUGCACUUCACUUCGUGGAAUUAAUAUUAGAAUGUUAGGGUUUGUAAUCCAAGUGAGAAUAUAUACAUGUAUAUAUUUUGUAAUCCAAGUGAGAAUAUUUUGUAAUCCAAGUGAGAAUAUACAAAUGUAUAGUACAUGUAUAUAUUUUGUGUAUAUAUUUUGUAAUCCAAAUGAGAAUAGUUUGUAAUCCAAGUGAGAAUAUACAAAUGUAUAUAUUCUCACUUGGAUUACAAACCCUAACAUUCUAAUAUUAAUUCCAACAAGUGAAGUGCAAGAAUCCAAAUUAUUGAAGUCCACCUUAUCACAACCCGCACACCCGAUUACCUAAAUAUACAUGAACUUACGGUUAAAGCUCAGCAGCUGGCCUCUGUAGCUCAGUUGGUUAGAGCGCUGCACCGGAAUCGCAGGGCCGUAGGUUCAAUUCCUACCAGAGGACCUUGUGCCUGCAUUUUUCGCAGUCGUUCCUGGUUAGGUCUUAAAAUGUAUAUAUUCUCACUUGGAUUACAAACCCUGACAUUCUAAUAUUAAUUCGAAUUCCACCAAGUGAACUGCAAGAAUCCAAAUUAUUGAAGUCCACCUUAUCACAACCCGCACACCCGAUUACCUAAAUAUACAUGAACUUACGGUUAAAGCUCAACAACUGGCAUCUGUAGCUCAGUUGGUUAGAGCGCUGCACCGGAAUCGCAGGGCCGUAGGUUCAAUUCCUACCAGAGGACCUUGUGCUGCAUUUUCGCAGUCGUUCCUGGUUAGGUCUUAAAAUGUAUAUAUUCUCACUUGGAUUACAAACCCUAACAUUCUAAUGUUAAUUCCAACAAGUGAAGUCCAAGAAUCUAAAUUAUUGAAGUCCACCUUAUUACAACCCGCACACCCGAUUACCUAAAUAUACAUGAACUUACGGUUAAAGCUCAACAGCUGGCCUCUGUAGCUCAGUUGGUUAGAGCGCUGCACCGGAAUCGCAGGGCUGUAGGUUCAAUUCCUACCAGAGGACCUUGUGCUGCAUUUUUUGCAGUCGUUCCUGGUUAGAUCUUAAAAUGUAUAUAUUCUCACUUGGAUUACAAGCCCUAACAUUCUAAUAUUAAUUCCACCAAGUGAAGUGCAAGAAUCCAAAUUAUUGAAGUCCACCUCAUCACUACCCGCACACCCGAUUACCUAUAUAUACAUCAACUUGCGGUUACAGCUCAACAGCUGGCCUCUGUAGCUCAGUUGGUUAGAGCGCUGCACUGGAAUCGCAGGGCCGUAGGUUCAAUUCCUACCAGAGGACCUUGUGCUGCAUUUUUUGCAGUCGUUCCUGGUUAGGUCUUAAAAUGUAUAUAUUCUCACUUGGAUUACAAACCCUAACAUUCUAAUGUUAAUUCCAACAAGUGAAGUCCAAGAAUCCAAAUUAUUGAAGUCCACCUUAUCACAACCCGCACACCCGAUUACCUAAAUAUACAUGAACUUACGGUUAAAGCUCAACAGCUGGCCUCUGUAGCUCAGUUGGUUAGAGCGCUGCACCGGAAUCGCAGGGCCGUAGGUUCAAUUCCUACCGGAGGACCUUGUGCUGCAUUUUUCGCAGUCGUUCCUGGUUAGGUCUUAAAAUGUAUAUAUUCUCACUUGGAUUACAAACCUAACAUUCAAAUAUUAAUUCCAACAAGUGAAGUACAAGAAUCCAAAUUAUUGAAGUCCAGCUUAUCACAACCGGCACACCCGAUUACCUAAAUAUACAUGAACUUACGGUUAAAGCUCAACAGCUGGCCUCUGUAGCUCAGUUGGUUAGAGCGCUGCACCGGAAUCGCAGGGCUGUAGGUUCAAUUCCUACCAGAGGACCUUGUGCUGCAUUUUUCGCAGUCGUUCCUGGUUAGGUCUUAAAACGUAUAUAUUCUCACUUGGAUUACAAACCCUAACAUUCUAAUAUUAAGUCCACCAAGUGAAGUGCAAGAAUCCAAAUUAUUGAAGUCCACCUUAUCAUAACCCACACACCCGAUUACUUAAAUAUACAUGAACUUACGGUUAAAACUCAACAGCUGGCCUCUGUAGCUCAGUUGGUUAGAGCGCUGUACCGGAAUCGCAGGGCCGUAGGUUCAAUUCCUACCAGAGGACCUUGUGCUGCAUUUUUCGCAGUCGUUCCUGGUUAGGUCUUAAAAUGUAUAUAUUCUCACAUGGAUUACAAACCCUAACAUUCUAAUAUUAAUUCCACCAAGUGAAGUGCCAAGAAUCCAAAUUAUUGAAGUCCACCUUAUCACAACCCGCACACCCGAUAACCUAAAUAUACAUGAACUUGCGGUUCAAGCUCAACAGCUGGCCUUUGUAGCUCAGUUGGUUAGAGCGCUGCACCGGAAUCGCGGUACCGUAGGUUCAAUUCCUACCAGAGGACCUUGUGCUGCAUUUUUCGCAGUCGUUCCUGGUUAGGUCUUAAAAUGUAUAUAAUUCUCACUUGGAUUAAAAGUUAAAACCCUAACAUUCUAACAUUUGAAAUUAAGGAUUUGGAGGUUUUGCGAUCACUGAUAACUUGAUAAUAAUAUAAAACAAAACACUUCUAUCUGCGACUUUUACUUAUCACUGAUAACUUGAUAAUAAUUUAAACCAGUCAAGUUGUAGUUUAAAUAGAGAAUAAUACAUGGGUGCACGAAAAACCAGAUUUAUUUCGAGUGUUGAACAUGAGUGCGCAGCGAACAAGUGAGCGCAUCGAACGAGUGAGAUGUCAUGUUCAACACGAAAAAUAAAUCUGGUAUUUCCAACCACACAUGUAUUUUUCUGUUUAUUAUAUAAAGGACAGUCUUUUAAAAGCGAUAAUUUUUACAGAAAAGUGAUAAUUGAAAAGGCGAUAAUUUUCACAUGUGAGAUUAUCAUGAAUAAUUUUACAUGUGAGAUUAUCAUUUUUAUCAGUGCUCGAAAUCUCUUUCAAACACUCAUUAAUAAUUCAUAAGCUUAUUGACGAAACAUGUCGACCAUAUUAUGUCACGUGCAGUGGCUUUAAACCUGAUAAAACACUCCUAAUUGGUAUUCUUUAUAUAAAGAAUACUAAUAAGGCAGUAUCUAUUGUAGUCGUGUCCUCAUUAGUAUUCUUUAUAUAAAGAAUACUAACAAGGCAGUAAAUCUAUUGAAUUUGUAGUCGUGUUUGAAGCCGUUUAAUAAACUCGAAGGUCGUGUUUUAUUAGGUCUAAAGCCACUCGCGCUGCGCGCUCGUGUCUUUUAACCUAAUAAAACACUCCUGCUCGUUUAUUAAACAGUACAUAAAACACUAUACUUUAUAUAAUAAAAAUUCAUAAAUUUGAACCACGCUAGAGCAUGCAACAGCAAAAUGCUCUAUAGUAUGAUGCACAAAAUUUUGGGAGAUGAAAUACACGAACAAAAAAUCAGAGAGUCGGUUUGCUUGAAACUCACUUGGGGUGGGGGUCGGGGGUGCAACACCCCUAAUAAUUUCUCAUGAGGAAUUUCAGGUAGAUUUCCAGUGCACUUUUAGGUAAAUUUAAGUAGAUUUUCAGAAGAUUUUCAGUGGAAUUCAGGUAAUUCUCAAGACAUGAGAAAGUGAAUUUGAAAACAACUGUAUUUUCGGAAAAAUUAUUAUAUGUCCUGAAUUUUGUACAUCUGGAAACAUUUUGGUAACCACCCCCCCCCCCUAUCUAACCUCACACACACCCUGAGACGAAGUGCUAGCAACGGCACUGAGUAUACAUCUUUUGAAAACAGGCGAGGGGUUAUUGCAUGCAUGUAUUUCUAGUUUACUCAUAAUUUUUCGCGCAUUUUGCAGGGAUGCAUAUUAUAGCGGACCACAGGACCAUUGGUCGCAGAAAAUGUUUGAGGUUGGCAGAAAAAAAUGGAGGGUAAAACUUAAAAGUCUCAAAAGAACAAAGUAAAGAGAAAGAAAGGAAAAACAGAAAGGAAGAAAAUCAGAAAGUGACAUAAUUGAAUAAUAAGCUGUAGGUUGUGAACUAGUGAUAUUUGCAACAUACAGUUUCCAAUAAUAUAUGAAUACAACUACAAUAUGUGUAUUAAAAAAUCUGCGAGUGUGGUGAUUUCUUACAAUGUAGUAAAAAAUCAAAUCAGUCAAUAUUUUGUGACGUUAUAAUAUUUUGUAAAAGG
Paramuricea clavata is the source of this 4999-nucleotide non-coding RNA. Lineage: Eukaryota; Metazoa; Cnidaria; Anthozoa; Malacalcyonacea; Plexauridae. The record is from the annotation of a GenBank genome assembly.